CAGCAGCCGCGGUAAAACGUAGGUGGCAAGCGUUGUUCGGAAUUAUUGGGCGUAAAGGGCUCGCAGGCGGUUUCUUAAGUCUGAUGUGAAAGCCCCCGGCUCAACCGGGGAGGGUCAUUGGAAACUGGGAAACUUGAGUGCAGAAGAGGAGAGUGGAAUUCCACGUGUAGCGGUGAAAUGCGUAGAGAUGUGGAGGAACACCAGUGGCGAAGGCGACUCUCUGGUCUGUAACUGACGCUGAGGAGCGAAAGCGUGGGGAGCAAACAGGAUUAGAUACCCGUGUAGUCCCUGUCUCUUAUAC
RNAcentral lists this ribosomal RNA (301 nucleotides) under uncultured bacterium. RNAcentral describes it as "partial 16S ribosomal RNA". It matches the Rfam family "Bacterial small subunit ribosomal RNA", at positions 509 to 807 of the family's 1533-position model. The record is from RNAcentral.